UACGUAGGGUGCAAGCGUUGUCCGGAAUUAUUGGGCGUAAAGAGCUCGUAGGCGGCUUGUCGCGUCGUCCGUGAAAACUUGGGGCUCAACCCCAAGCUUGCGGUCGAUACGGGCAGGCUAGAGUUCGGUAGGGGAGACUGGAAUUCCUGGUGUAGCGGUGAAAUGCGCAGAUAUCAGGAGGAACACCGGUGGCGAAGGCGGGUCUCUGGGCCGUUACUGACGCUGAGGAGCGAAAGCGUGGGGAGCGAACAGG
This 253-nucleotide ribosomal RNA is filed under the name uncultured bacterium. RNAcentral's name for it is "partial 16S ribosomal RNA". It matches the Rfam family "Bacterial small subunit ribosomal RNA", at positions 524 to 776 of the family's 1533-position model. The record is from RNAcentral.